GGUUAGGGUUAGGGUUGGAUCUAGGGUUAGGGUUAGGGUUAGGGUUGGAGCUAGGGUUAGGGUUGGGCUUGGAGCUAGGAUUUUUCUGAGUGCAAUGAACCAACUCCCGAGUCUCUAGGACGUUCCUAAAAAAAAUUUGAUUUUUUCCCAUAGGAAUGCAUGGGGAAAAAAAAUUGAAAAUUUUUUUAAGUGCCAAUCCAAUUUUUCACCUCCCAGAAUUGUGUUAGGAGCACGCUUCAGGCCACGGGGAGUCUAUAGAACCUUAUUCUGGGGUAAGCUUUUUGAAAAGUUUACUUUGGGUUAGGGUUAGGGUUGGAGCUAGGGUUAGGGUUAGGGUUAAGGUUAAGGUUGGAGCUAGGGUUAGGGUUAGGGUUAAGGUUGGAGCUAGGGUUAGGGUUAGGGUUAGGGUUAGGGUUGGAGCUAGGGUUAGGGUUAGAGCUAGGGUUGGGGCUAGGGUUAGGGUUAGGGUUAGGGUUAAGGUUGGAGCUAGGGUUAGGGUUAGGUGUGGGGUUGGAGCUAGGGUUAGGGUUAGGGUUAGGGUUGGAGUUAGGGUUAGUGUUGGAGCUAGGGUUAGGGUUGGGCUUGGAGCUAGGAUUUUUCUGAGUGCAAUGAACCAACUCCCGAGUCUCUAGGACGUUCCUAAAAAAAUUUGAUUUUUUCCCAUAGGAAUGCAUGGGUUAGGGUUAGGGUUAGGGUUGGAGCUAGGGUUAGGGUUAGGGUUAGGGUUGGAGUUAGGGUUAGUGUUGGAGCUAGGGUUAGGGUUGGGCUUGGAGCUAGGAUUUUUCUGAGUGCAAUGAACCAACUCCCGAGUCUCUAGGACGUUCCUAAAAAAAUUUGAUUUUUUCCCAUAGGAAUGCAUGGGUUAGGGUUAGGGUUAGGGUUGGAGCUAGGGUUAGGGUUAGGGUUAGGGUUGGAGUUAGGGUUAGUGUUGGAGCUAGGGUUAGGGUUGGGCUUGGAGCUAGGAUUUUUCUGAGUGCAAUGAACCAACUCCCGAGUCUCUAGGACGUUCCUAAAAAAAUUGAUUUUUUCCCAUAGGAAUGCAUGGGUUAGGGUUAUGGUUAGGGUUAGGGUUGGAGCUAGGGUUAGGGUUAGGGUUAGGGUUGGAGUUAGGGUUAGUGUUGGAGCUAGGGUUAGGGUUGGGCUUGGAGCUAGGAUUUUUCUGAGUGCACUGAACCAACUCCCGAGUCUCUAGGACAUUCCUAAAAAAAUUGAUUUUUUCCCAUAGGAAUGCAUGGGUUAGGGUUAUGGUUAGGGUUAGGGUUGGAGCUAGGGUUAGGGUUAGGGUUAGGGUUGGAGUUAGGGUUAGUGUUGGAGCUAGGGUUAGGGUUGGGCUUGGAGCUAGGAUUUUUCUGAGUGCAAUGAACCAACUCCCGAGUCUCUAGGACGUUCCUAAAAAAAUUUGAUUUUUUCCCAUAGGAAUGCAUGGGUUAGGGUUAUGGUUAGGGUUAGGGUUGGAGCUAGGGUUAGGGUUAGGGUUAGGGUUGGAGUUAGGGUUAGUGUUGGAGCUAGGGUUAGGGUUGGGCUUGGAGCUAGGAUUUUUCUGAGUGCAAUGAACCAACUCCCGAGUCUCUAGGACAUUCCUAAAAAAAAUUUGAUUUUUUCCCAUAGGAAUGCAUGGGUUAGGGUUAGGGUUAGGGUUGGAGCUAGGGUUAGGGUUAGGGUUAGGGUUGGAGUUAGGGUUAGUGUUGGAGCUAGGGUUAGGGUUGGGCUUGGAGCUAGGAUUUUUCUGAGUGCAAUGAACCAACUCCCGAGUCUCUAGGACGUUCCUAAAAAAAAUUGAUUUUUUUCCCAUAGGAAUGCAUGGGUUAGGGUUAGGGUUAGGGUUGGAGCUAGGGUUAGGGUUAGGGUUAGGGUUGGAGUUAGGGUUAGUGUUGGAGCUAGGGUUAGGGUUGGGCUUGGAGCUAGGAUUUGUCUGAGUGCACUGAACCAACUCCCGAGUCUCUAGGACAUUCCUAAAAAAAUUUGAUUUUUUUCCCAUAGGAAUGCAUGGGUUAGGGUUAUGGUUAGGGUUAGGGUUGGAGCUAGGGUUAGGGUUAGGGUUAGGGUUGGAGUUAGGGUUAGUGUUGGAGCUAGGGUUAGGGUUGGGCUUGGAGCUAGGAUUUUUCUGAGUGCAAUGAACCAACUCCCGAGUCUCUAGGACGUUCCUAAAAAAAUUUGAUUUUUUCCCAUAGGAAUGCAUGGGUUAGGGUUAGGGUUAGGGUUGGAGCUAGGGUUAGGGUUAGGGUUAGGGUUGGAGUUAGGGUUAGUGUUGGAGCUAGGGUUAGGGUUGGGCUUGGAGCUAGGAUUUUUCUGAGUGCAAUGAACCAACUCCCGAGUCUCUAGGACGUUCCUAAAAAAAUUUGAUUUUUUCCCAUAGGAAUGCAUGGGUUAGGGUUAGGGUUAGGGUUGGAGUUAGGGUUAGGGUUAGGGUUAGGGUUGGAGUUAGGGUUAGUGUUGGAGCUAGGGUUAGGGUUGGGCUUGGAGCUAGGACUUUUCUGAGUGCAAUGAACCAACUCCCGAGUCUCUAGGACGUUCCUAAAAAAAUUUGAUUUUUUCCCAUAGGAAUGCAUGGGCUAGGGUUAGGGUUAGGGUUGGAGCUAGGGUUAGGGUUAGGGUUAGGGUUGGAGUUAGGGUUAGUGUUGGAGCUAGGGUUAGGGUUGGGCUUGAAGCUAGGAUUUUUCUGAGUGCAAUGAACCAACUCCCGAGUCUCUAGGACGUUCCUAAAAAAAUUUGAUUUUUUCCCAUAGGAAUGCAUGGGUUAGGGUUAGGGUUAGGGUUGGAGCUAGGGUUAGGGUUAGGGUUAGGGUUGGAGUUAGGGUUAGUGUUGGAGCCAGGGUUAGGGUUGGGCUUGGAGCUAGGACUUUUCUGAGUGCAAUGAACCAACUCCCGAGUCUCUAGGACGUUCCUAAAAAAAUUUGAUUUUUUCCCAUAGGAAUGCAUGGGUUAGGGUUAGGGUUAGGGUUGGAGCUAGGGUUAGGGUUAGGGUUAGGGUUGGAGUUAGGGUUAGUGUUGGAGCUAGGGUUAGGGUUGGGCUUGGAGCUAGGAUUUUUCUGAGUGCAAUGAACCAACUCCCGAGUCUCUAGGACGUUCCUAAAAAAAUUUGAUUUUUUCCCAUAGGAAUGCAUGGGUUAGGGUUAUGGUUAGGGUUAGGGUUGGAGCUAGGGUUAGGGUUAGGGUUAGGGUUGGAGUUAGGGUUAGUGUUGGAGCUAGGGUUAGGGUUGGGCUUGGAGCUAGGAUUUUUCUGAGUGCAAUGAACCAACUCCCGAGUCUCUAGGACGUUCCUCAAAAAAUUUGAUUUUUUCCCAUAGGAAUGCAUGGCUUAGGGUUAGGGUUAGGGUUGGAGCUAGGGUUAGGGUUAGGGUUAGGGUUAGGGUUGGAGUUAGGGUUAGUGUUGGGCUUGGAGCUAGGAUUUUUCUGAGUGCAAUGAACCAACUCCCGAGUCUCUAGGAGAUUCCUAAAAAAAUUUGAUUUUUUCCCAUAGGAAUGCAUGGGUUAGGGUUAUGGUUAGGGUUAGGGUUGGAGCUAGGGUUAGGGUUAGGGUUAGGGUUGGAGUUAGGGUUAGUGUUGGAGCUAGGGUUAGGGUUGGGCUUGGAGCUAGGAUUUUUCUGAGUGCAAUGAACCAACUCCCGAGUCUCUAGGAUGUUCCUAAAAAAAUUUGAUUUUUUCCCAUAGGAAUGCAUGGGUUAGGGUUAGGGUUGGAGCUAGGGUUAGGGUUAGGGUUGGAGUUAGGGUUAGUGUUGGAGCUAGGGUUAGGGUUGGGCUUGGAGCUAGGAUUUUUCUGAGUGCAAUGAACCAACUCCCGAGUCUCUAGGACGUUCCUAAAAAAAUUUGAUUUUUUCCCAUAGGAAUGCAUGGGUUAGGGUUAGGGUUAGGGUUGGAGUUAGGGUUUGUGUUGGAGCUAGGGUUAGGGUUGGGCUUGGAGCUAGGAUUUUUCUGAGUGCAAUGAACCAACUCCCGAGUCUCUAGGACGUUCCUAAAAAAAUUUGAUUUUUUCCCAUAGGAAUGCAUGGAUUAGGGUUAGGUUUAGGGUUGGAGCUAGGGUUAGGGUUAGGGUUGGAGUUAGGGUUAGUGUUGGAGCUAGGGUUAGGGUUGGGCUUGGAGCUAGGAUUUUUCUGAGUGCAAUGAACCAACUCCCGAGUCUCUAGGACGUUCCUAAAAAAAUUUGAUUUUUUCCCAUAGGAAUGCAUGGGUUAGGGUUAGGGUUAGGGUUGGAGCUAGGGUUAGGGUUAGGGUUAGGGUUGGGGUUGGAGUUAGGGUUAGUGUUGGAGCUAGGGUUAGGGUUGGGCUUGGAGCUAGGAUUUUCUGAGUGCAUGAACCAACUCCCGAGUCUCUAGGACUUCCUAAAAAAAUUUGAUUUUUUCCCAUAGGAAUGCAUGGGUUAGGUUAGGGUUAGGGUUAGGGUUGGAGCUAGGGUUAGGGUUAGGGUUAGGGUUGGAGUUAGGGUUAGUGUUGGAGCUAGGGUUAGGGUUGGGCUUGGAGCUAGGAUUUUUCUGAGUGCACUGAACCAACUCCCGAGUCUCUAGGACAUUCCUAAAAAAAUUUGAUUUUUUCCCAUAGGAAUGCAUGGGUUAGGGUUAGGGUUAGGGUUAGGGUUGGAGCUAGGGUUAGGGUUAGGGUUAGGGUUGGAGUUAGGGUUAGUGUUGGAGCUAGGGUUAGGGUUGGGCUUGGAGCUAGGAUUUUUCUGAGUGCAAUGAACCAACUCCCGAGUCUCUAGGACGUUCCUAAAAAAAUUUGAUUUUUUCCCAUAGGAAUGCAUGGGUUAGGGUUAGGGUUAGGGUUGGAGCUAGGGUUAGGGUUAGGGUUAGGGUUGGAGUUAGGGUUAGUGUUGGAGCUAGGGUUAGGGUUGGGCUUGGAGCUAGGAUUUUUCUGAGUGCACUGAACCAACUCCCGAGUCUCUAGGACGUUCCUAAAAAAAAUUGAUUUUUUCCCAUAGGAAUGCAUGGGUUAGGGUUAGGGUUAGGGUUGGAGCUAGGGUUAGGGUUAGGGUUAGGGUUGGAGUUAGGGUUAGUGUUGGAGCUAGGGUUAGGGUUGGGCUUGGAGCUAGGAUUUUUCUGAGUGCACUGAACCAACUCCCGAGUCUCUAGGACAUUCCUAAAAAAAUUGAUUUUUUCCCAUAGGAAUGCAUGGGUUAGGGUUAGGGUUAGGGUUGGAGCUAGGGUUAGGGUUAGGGUUAGGGUUGGAGUUAGGGUUAGUGUUGGAGCUAGGGUUAGGGUUGGGCUUGGAGCUAGGAUUUUUCUGAGUGCACUGAACCAACUCCCGAGUCUCUAGGACAUUCCUAAAAAAAUUUGAUUUUUUUCCCAUAGGAAUGCAUGGGUUAGGGUUAGGGUUAGGGUUGGAGCUAGGGUUAGGGUUAGGGUUAGGGUUAGGGUUGGAGUUAGGGUUAGUGUUGGAGCUAGGGUUAGGGUUGGGCUUGGAGCUAGGAUUUUUCUGAGUGCACUGAACCAACUCCCGAGUCUCUAGGACAUUCCUAAAAAAUUUGAUUUUUUCCCAUAGGAAUGCAUGGGUUAGGGUUAGGGUUAGGGUUGGAGCUAGGGUUAGGGUUAGGGUUAGGGUUGGAGUUAGGGUUAGUGUUGGAGCUAGGGUUAGGGUUGGGCUUGGAGCUAGGAUUUUUCUGAGUGCACUGAACCAACUCCCGAGUCUCUAGGACGUUCCUAAAAAAAUUUGAUUUUUUCCCAUAGGAAUGCAUGGGUUAGGGUUAUGGUUAGGGUUAGGGUUGGAGCUAGGGUUAGGGUUAGGGUUAGGGUUGGAGUUAGGGUUAGUGUUGGAGCUAGGGUUAGGGUUGGGCUUGGAGCUAGGAUUUUCUGAGUGCAAUGAACCAACUCCCGAGUCUCUAGGACGUUCCUAAAAAAAUUUGAUUUUUUCCCAUAGGAAUGCAUGGGUUAGGGUUAGGGUUAGGGUUGGAGCUAGGGUUAGGGUUAGGGUUAGGGUUGGAGUUAGGGUUAGUGUUGGAGCUAGGGUUAGGGUUGGGCUUGGAGCUAGGAUUUUUCUGAGUGCAAUGAACCAACUCCCGAGUCUCUAGGACGUUCCUAAAAAAAUUUGAUUUUUUCCCUUAGGAAUGCAUGGGUUAGGGUUAGGGUUAGGGUUGGAGCUAGGGUUAGGGUUAGGGUUAGGGUUGGAGUUAGGGUUAGUGUUGGAGCUAGGGUUAGGGUUGGGCUUGGAGCUAGGACUUUUCUGAGUGCAAUGAACCAACUCCCGAGUCUCUAGGACGUUCCUAAAAAAAUUUGUUUUUUUCCCAUAGGAAUGCAUGGGUUAGGGUUAGGGUUAGGGUUGGAGCUAGGGUUAGGGUUAGGGUUAGGGUUGGAGUUAGGGUUAGUGUUGGAGCUAGGGUUAGGGUUGGGCUUGGAGCUAGGAUUUUUCUGAGUGCACUGAACCAACUCCCGAGUCUCUAGGACGUUCCUAAAAAAAUUUGAUUUUUUUCCCAUAGGAAUGCAUGGGUUAGGGUUAGGGUUAGGGUUGGAGCUAGGGUUAGGGUUAGGGUUAGGGUUGGAGUUAGGGUUAGUGUUGGAGCUAGGGUUAGGGUUGGGCUUGGAGCUAGGAUUUUUCUGAGUGCACUGAACCAACUCCCGAGUCUCUAGGACAUUCCUAAAAAAAUUUGAUUUUUUCCCAUAGGAAUGCAUGGGUUAGGGUUAGGGUUAGGGUUGGAGCUAGGGUUAGGGUUAGGGUUAGGGUUGGAGUUAGGGUUAGUGUUGGAGCUAGGGUUAGGGUUGGGCUUGGAGCUAGGAUUUUUCUGAGUGCAAUGAACCAACUCCCGAGUCUCUAGGACGUUCCUAAAAAAAUUUGAUUUUUUCCCAUAGGAAUGCAUGGGUUAGGGUUAUGGUUAGGGUUAGGGUUGGAGCUAGGGUUAGGGUUAGGGUUAGGGUUGGAGUUAGGGUUAGUGUUGGAGCUAGGGUUAGGGUUGGGCUUGGAGCUAGGAUGUUUCUGAGUGCAAUGAACCAACUCCCGAGUCUCUUCGACGUUCCUAAAAAAUUUGAUUUUUUCCCAUAGGAAUGCAUGGGUUAGGGUUAGGGUUAGGGUUGGAGCUAGGGUUAGGGUUAGGGUUAGGGUUGGAGUUAGGGUUAGUGUUGGAGCUAGGGUUAGGGUUGGGCUUGGAGCUAGGAUUUUUCUGAGUGCAAUGAACCAACUCCCGAGUCUCUAGGACGUUCCUAAAAAAAUUUGAUUUUUUCCCAUAGGAAUGCAUGGGUUAGGGUUAGGGUUAGGGUUGGAGCUAGGGUUAGGGUUAGGGUUAGGGUUGGAGUUAGGGUUAGUGUUGGAGCUAGGGUUAGGGUUGGGCUUGGAGCUAGGAUUUUUCUGAGUGCAAUGAACCAACUCCCGAGUCUCUAGGACGUUCCUAAAAAAAAUUGUUUUUUUUCCCAUAGGAAUGCAUGGGUUAGGGUUAGGGUUAGGGUUGGAGCUAGGGUUAGGGUUAGGGUUAGGGUUGGAGUUAGGGUUAGUGUUGGAGCUAGGGUUAGGGUUGGGCUUGGAGCUAGGAUUUUUCUGAGUGCACUGAACCAACUCCCGAGUCUCUAGGACAUUCCUAAAAAAAUUUGAUUUUUUCCCUUAGGAAUGCAUGGGUUAGGGUUAUGGCUAGGGUUAGGGUUGGAGCUAGGGUUAGGGUUGGAGUUAGGGUUAGUGUUGGAGCUAGGGUUAGGGUUGGGCUUGGAGCUAGGACUUUUCUGAGUGCAAUGAACCAACUCCCGAGUCUCUAGGACGUUCCCUAAAAAAAUUUGAUUUUUCCCAUAGGAAUGCAUGGGUUAGGGUUAGGGUUAGGGUUGGAGCUAGGGUUAGGGUUAGGGUUAGGGUUGGAGUUAGGGUUAGUGUUGGAGCUAGGGUUAGGGUUGGGCUUGGAGCUAGGAUUUUUCUGAGUGCACUGAACCAACUCCCGAGUCUCUAGGACAUUCCUAAAAAAAUUUGAUUUUUUUCCCAUAGGAAUGCAUGGGUUAGGGUUAGGGUUAGGGUUGGAGCUAGGGUUAGGGUUAGGGUUAGGGUUGGAGUUAGGGUUAGUGUUGGAGCUAGGGUUAGGGUUGGGCUUGGAGCUAGGAUUUUUCUGAGUGCACUGAACCAACUCCCGAGUCUCUAGGACGUUCCUAAAAAAAUUUGAUUUUUUUCCCAUAGGAAUGCAUGGGUUAGGGUUAGGGUUAGGGUUGGAGCUAGGGUUAGGGUUAGGGUUAGGGUUAGGGUUGGAGUUAGGGUUAGUGUUGGAGCUAGGGUUAGGGUUGGGCUUGGAGCUAGGAUUUUUCUGAGUGCACUGAACCAACUCCCGAGUCUCUAGGACAUUCCUAAAAAAAAUUGAUUUUUUCCCAUAGGAAUGCAUGGGUUAGGGUUAGGGUUAGGGUUGGAGCUAGGGUUAGGGUUAGGGUUAGGGUUGGAGUUAGGGUUAGUGUUGGAGCUAGGGUUAGGGUUGGGCUUGGAGCUAGGAUUUUUCUGAGUGCACUGAACCAACUCCCGAGUCUCUAGGACGUUCCUUAAAAAAAUUUGAUUUUUUCCCAUAGGAAUGCAUGGGUUAGGGUUAUGGUUAGGGUUAGGGUUGGAGCUAGGGUUAGGGUUAGGGUUAGGGUUGGAGUUAGGGUUAGUGUUGGAGCUAGGGUUAGGGUUGGGCUUGGAGCUAGGAUUUUUCUGAGUGCAAUGAACCAACUCCCGAGUCUCUAGGACGUUCCUAAAAAAAUUUGAUUUUUUUCCCUUAGGAAUGCAUGGGUUAGGGUUAGGGUUAGGGUUGGAGCUAGGGUUAAGGUUAGGGUUAGGGUUGGAGUUAGGGUUAGUGUUGGAGCUAGGGUUAGGGUUGGGCUUGGAGCUAGGACUUUUCUGAGUGCAAUGAACCAACUCCCGAGUCUCUAGGACGUUCCUAAAAAAAUUUGAUUUUUUUCCCAUAGGAAUGCAUGGGUUAGGGUUAGGGUUAGGGUUGGAGCUAGGGUUAGGGUUAGGGUUAGGGUUGGAGUUAGGGUUAGUGUUGGAGCUAGGGUUAGGGUUGGGCUUGGAGCUAGGAUUUUUCUGAGUGCACUGAACCAACUCCCGAGUCUCUAGGACGUUCCUAAAAAAAUUUGAUUUUUUUCCCAUAGGAAUGCAUGGGUUAGGGUUAGGGUUAGGGUUGGAGCUAGGGUUAGGGUUAGGGUUAGGGUUAGGGUUGGAGUUAGGGUUAGUGUUGGAGCUAGGGUUAGGGUUGGGCUUGGAGCUAGGAUUUUUCUGAGUGCACUGAACCAACUCCCGAGUCUCUAGGACAUUCCUAAAAAAAAUUGAUUUUUUCCCAUAGGAAUGCAUGGGUUAGGGUUAGGGUUAGGGUUGGAGCUAGGGUUAGGGUUAGGGUUAGGGUUGGAGUUAGGGUUAGUGUUGGAGCUAGGGUUAGGGUUGGGCUUGGAGCUAGGAUUUUUCUGAGUGCACUGAACCAACUCCCGAGUCUCUAGGACGUUCCUUAAAAAAAUUUGAUUUUUUCCCAUAGGAAUGCAUGGGUUAGGGUUAUGGUUAGGGUUAGGGUUGGAGCUAGGGUUAGGGUUAGGGUUAGGGUUGGAGUUAGGGUUAGUGUUGGAGCUAGGGUUAGGGUUGGGCUUGGAGCUAGGAUGUUUCUGAGUGCAAUGAACCAACUCCCGAGUCUCUUCGACGUUCCUAAAAAAAUUUGAUUUUUUCCCAUAGGAAUGCAUGGGUUAGGGUUAGGGUUAGGGUUGGAGCUAGGGUUAGGGUUAGGGUUAGGGUUGGAGUUAGGGUUAGUGUUGGAGCUAGGGUUAGGGUUGGGCUUGGAGCUAGGAUUUUUCUGAGUGCAAUGAACCAACUCCCGAGUCUCUAGGACGUUCCUAAAAAAAUUUGAUUUUUUCCCUUAGGAAUGCAUGGGUUAGGGUUAGGGUUAGGGUUGGAGCUAGGGUUAGGGUUAGGGUUAGGGUUGGAGUUAGGGUUAGUGUUGGAGCUAGGGUUAGGGUUGGGCUUGGAGCUAGGACUUUUCUGAGUGCAAUGAACCAACUCCCGAGUCUCUAGGACGUUCCUAAAAAAAUUUGAUUUUUUUCCCAUAGGAAUGCAUGGGUUAGGGUUAGGGUUAGGGUUGGAGCUAGGGUUAGGGUUAGGGUUAGGGUUGGAGUUAGGGUUAGUGUUGGAGCUAGGGUUAGGGUUGGGCUUGGAGCUAGGAUUUUUCUGAGUGCAAUGAACCAACUCCCGAGUCUCUUGGACGUUCCUAAAAAAAUUUGAUUUUUUCCCAUAGGAAUGCAUGGGUUAGGGUUAGGGUUAGGGUUGGAGCUAGGGUUAGGGUUAGGGUUAGGGUUGGAGUUAGGGUUAGUGUUGGAGCUAGGGUUAGGGUUGGGCUUGGAGCUAGGACUUUUCUGAGUGCACUGAACCAACUCCCGAGUCUCUAGGACAUUCCUAAAAAAAUUUGAUUUUUUCCCAUAGGAAUGCAUGGUUUAGGGUUAUGGUUAGGGUUAGGGUUGGAGCUAGGGUUAGGGUUGGAGUUAGGGUUAGUGUUGGAGCUAGGGUUAGGGUUGGGCUUGGAGCUAGGACUUUUCUGAGUGCAAUGAACCAACUCCCGAGUCUCUAGGACGUUCCCUAAAAAAAUUUGAUUUUUUCCCAUAGGAAUGCAUGGGUUAGGGUUAGGGUUAGGGUUGGAGCUAGGGUUAGGGUUAGGGUUAGGGUUGGAGUUAGGGUUAGUGUUGGAGCUAGGGUUAGGGUUGGGCUUGGAGCAAGGAUUUUUCUGAGUGCACUGAACCAACUCCCGAGUCUCUAGGACAUUCCUAAAAAAAUUUGAUUUUUUCCCAUAGGAAUGCAUGGGUUAGGGUUAUGGUUAGGGUUAGGGUUGGAGCUAGGGUUAGGGUUAGGGUUAGGGUUGGAGUUAGGGUUAGUGUUGGAGCUAGGGUUAGGGUUGGGCUUGGAGCUAGGAUUUUUCUGAGUGCACUGAACCAACUCCCGAGUCUCUAGGACAUUCCUAAAAAAAUUUGAUUUUUUCCCAUAGGAAUGCAUGGGUUAGGGUUAGGGUUAGGGUUGGAGCUAGGGUUAGGGUUGGAGUUAGGGUUAGUGUUGGAGCUAGGGUUAGGGUUGGGCUUGGAGCUAGGAUUUUUCUGAGUGCACUGAACCAACUCCCGAGUCUCUAGGACAUUCCUAAAAAAAUUUGAUUUUUUCCCAUAGGAAUGCAUGGGUUAGGGUUAGGGUUAGGGUUGGAGCUAGGGUUAGGGUUAGGGUUAGGGUUGGAGUUAGGGUUAGUGUUGGAGCUAGGGUUAGGGUUGGGCUAGGAGCUAGGAUUUUUCUGAGUGCACUGAACCAACUCCCGAGUCUCUAGGACAUUCCUAAAAAAAUUUGAUUUUUUCCCAUAGGAAUGCAUGGGUUAGGGUUAGGGUUAGGGUUGGAGCUAGGGUUAGGGUUAGGGUUAGGGUUGGAGUUAGGGUUAGUGUUGGAGCUAGGGUUAGGGUUGGGCUUGGAGCUAGGAUUUUUCUGAGUGCACUGAACCAACUCCCGAGUCUCUAGGACAUUCCUAAAAAAAAUUGAUUUUUUCCCAUAGGAAUGCAUGGGUUAGGGUUAUGGUUAGGGUUAGGGUUGGAGCUAGGGUUAGGGUUAGGGUUAGGGUUGGAGUUAGGGUUAGUGUUGGAGCUAGGGUUAGGGUUGGGCUUGGAGCUAGGAUUUUUCUGAGUGCACUGAACCAACUCCCGAGUCUCUAGGACGUUCCUAAAAAAAUUUGAUUUUUUCCCAUAGGAAUGCAUGGGUUAGGGUUAGGGUUAGGGUUGGAGCUAGGGUUAGGGUUAGGGUUAGGGUUGGAGUUAGGGUUAGUGUUGGAGCUAGGGUUAGGGUUGGGCUUGGAGCUAGGAUUUUUCUGAGUGCACUGAACCAACUCCCGAGUCUCUAGGACAUUCCUAAAAAAAUUUGAUUUUUUCCCAUAGGAAUGCAUGGGUUAGGGUUAGGGUUAGGGUUGGAGCUAGGGUUAGGGUUAGGGUUAGGGUUGGAGUUAGGGUUAGUGUUGGAGCUAGGGUUAGGGUUGGGCUUGGAGCUAGGAUUUUUCUGAGUGCACUGAACCAACUCCCGAGUCUCUAGGACGUUCCUAAAAAAAUUUGAUUUUUUCCCAUAGGAAUGCAUGGGUUAGGGUUAGGGUUAGGGUUGGAGCUAGGGUUAGGGUUAGGGUUAGGGUUAGGGUUGGAGUUAGGGUUAGUGUUGGAGCUAGGGUUAGGGUUGGGCUUGGAGCUAGGAUUUUUCUGAGUGCACUGAACCAACUCCCGAGUCUCUAGGACAUUCCUAAAAAAAUUUGAUUUUUUCCCAUAGGAAUGCAUGGGUUAGGGUUAGGGUUAGGGUUAGGGUUGGAGCUAGGGUUAGGGUUAGGGUUAGGGUUGGAGUUAGGGUUAGUGUUGGAGCUAGGGUUAGGGUUGGGCUUGGAGCUAGGAUUUUUCUGAGUGCAAUGAACCAACUCCCGAGUCUCUAGGACGUUCCUAAAAAAAUUUGAUUUUUUCCCAUAGGAAUGCAUGGGUUAGGGUUAUGGUUAGGGUUAGGGUUGGAGCUAGGGUUAGGGUUAGGGUUAGGGUUGGAGUUAGGGUUAGUGUUGGAGCUAGGGUUAGGGUUGGGCUUGGAGCUAGGAUUUUUCUGAGUGCAAUGAACCAACUCCCGAGUCUCUAGGACGUUCCUAAAAAAAUUUGAUUUUUUUCCCAUAGGAAUGCAUGGGUUAGGGUUAGGGUUAGGGUUGGAGCUAGGGUUAGGGUUAGGGUUGGAGUUAGGGUUAGUGUUGGAGCUAGGGUUAGGGUUGGGCUUGGAGCUAGGACUUUUCUGAGUGCAAUGAACCAACUCCCGAGUCUCUAGGACGUUCCUAAAAAAAUUUGAUUUUUUUCCCAUAGGAAUGCAUGGGUUAGGGUUAGGGUUAGGGUUGGAGCUAGGGUUAGGGUUAGGGUUAGGGUUGGAGUUAGGGUUAGUGUUGGAGCUAGGGUUAGGGUUGGGCUUGGAGCUAGGAUUUUUCUGAGUGCACUGAACCAACUCCCGAGUCUCUAGGACAUUCCUAAAAAAAUUUGAUUUUUUCCCAUAGGAAUGCAUGGGUUAGGGUUAUGGUUAGGGUUAGGGUUGGAUUUAGGGUUAGGGUUAGGGUUAGGGUUGGAGUUAGGGUUAGUGUUGGAGCUAGGGUUAGGGUUGGGCUUGGAGCUAGGAUUUUUCUGAGUGCACUGAACCAACUCCCGAGUCUCUAGGACAUUCCUAAAAAAAUUUGAUUUUUUCCCAUAGGAAUGCAUGGGUUAGGGUUAGGGUUAGGGUUGGUGCUAGGGUUAGGGUUAGGGUUAGGGUUGGAGUUAGGGUUAGUGUUGGAGCUAGGGUUAGGGUUGGGCUUGGAGCUAGGAUUUUUCUGAGUGCACUGAACCAACUCCCGAGUCUCUAGGACAUUCCUAAAAAAAUUUGAUUUUUUCCCAUAGGAAUGCAUGGGUUAGGGUUAUGGUUAGGGUUAGGGUUGGAGCUAGGGUUAGGGUUAGGGUUAGGGUUGGAGUUAGGGUUAGUGUUGGAGCUAGGGUUAGGGUUGGGCUUGGAGCUAGGAUUUUUCUGAGUGCACUGAACCAACUCCCGAGUCUCUAGGACGUUCCCUAAAAAAAUUUGAUUUUUUCCCAUAGGAAUGCAUGGGUUAGGGUUAGGGUUAGGGUUGGAGCUAGGGUUAGGGUUAGGGUUAGGGUUGGAGUUAGGGUUAGUGUUGGAGCUAGGGUUAGGGUUGGGCUUGGAGCUAGGAUUUUUCUGAGUGCACUGAACCAACUCCCGAGUCUCUAGGACAUUCCUAAAAAAAUUUGAUUUUUUCCCAUAGGAAUGCAUGGGUUAGGGUUAUGGUUAGGGUUAGGGUUGGAGCUAGGGUUAGGGUUAGGGUUAGGGUUGGAGUUAGGGUUAGUGUUGGAGCUAGGGUUAGGGUUGGGCUUGGAGCUAGGAUUUUUCUGAGUGCACUGAACCAACUCCCGAGUCUCUAGGACAUUCCUAAAAAAAUUUGAUUUUUUCCCAUAGGAAUGCAUGGGUUAGGGUUAUGGUUAGGGUUAGGGUUGGAGCUAGGGUUAGGGUUAGGGUUGGAGUUAGGGUUAGUGUUGGAGCUAGGGUUAGGGUUGGGCUUGGAGCUAGGAUUUUUCUGAGUGCACUGAACCAACUCCCGAGUCUCUAGGAUGUUCCUAAAAAAAUUUGAUUUUUUCCCAUAGGAAUGCAUGGGUUAGGGUUAGGGUUAGGGUUGGAGCUAGGGUUAGGGUUAGGGUUAGGGUUGGAGUUAGGAUUAGUGUUGGAGCUAGGGUUAGGGUUGGGCUUGGAGCUAGGGUUUUUCUGAGUGCACUGAACCAACUCCCGAGUCUCUAGGACAUUCCUAAAGAAAUUUGAUUUUUUCCCAUAGGAAUGCAUGGGUUAGGGUUAGGGUUAGGGUUGGAGCUAGGGUUAGGGUUAGGGUUAGGGUUGGAGUUAGGGUUAGUGUUGGAGCUAGGGUUAGGGUUGGGCUUGGAGCUAGGAUUUUUCUGAGUGCACUGAACCAACUCCCGAGUCUCUAGGACAUUCCUAAAAAAAUUUGAUUUUUUCCCAUAGGAAUGCAUGGGUUAGGGUUAGGGUUAGGGUUAGGGUUGGAGCUAGGGUUAGGGUUAGGGUUGGAGUUAGGGUUAGUGUUGGAGCUAGGGUUAGGGUUGGGCUUGGAGCUAGGAUUUUUCUGAGUGCACUGAACCAACUCCCGAGUCUCUAGGAUGUUCCUAAAAAAAUUUGAUUUUUUCCCAUAGGAAUGCAUGGGUUAGGGUUAGGGUUAGGGUUGGAGCUAGGGUUAGGGUUAGGGUUAGGGUUGGAGUUAGAAUUAGUGUUGGAGCUAGGGUUAGGGUUGGGCUUGGAGCUAGGAUUUUUCUGAGUGCACUGAACCAACUCCCGAGUCUCUAGGACAUUCCUAAAGAAAUUUGAUUUUUUCCCAUAGGAAUGCAUGGGUUAGGGUUAGGGUUAGGGUUGGAGCUAGGGUUAGGGUUAGGGUUAGGGUUGGAGUUAGGGUUAGUGUUGGAGCUAGGGUUAGGGUUGGGCUUGGAGCUAGGAUUUUUCUGAGUGCAAUGAACCAACUCCCGAGUCUCUAGGACAUUCCUAAAAAAAUUUGAUUUUUUCCCAUAGGAAUGCAUGGGUUAGGGUUAUGGUUAGGGUUAGGGUUGGAGCUAGGGUUAGGGUUAGGGUUAGGGUUGGAGUUAGGGUUAGUGUUGGAGCUAGGGUUAGGGUUGGGCUUGGAGCUAGGAUUUUUCUGAGUGCACUGAACCAACUCCCGAGUCUCUAGGACGUUCCUAAAAAAAUUUGAUUUUUUCCCAUAGGAAUGCAUGGGUUAGGGUUAGGGUUAGGGUUGGAGCUAGGGUUAGGGUUAGGGUUAGGGUUGGAGUUAGGGUUAGUGUUGGAGCUAGGGUUAGGGUUGGGCUUGGAGCUAGGAUUUUUCUGAGUGCACUGAACCAACUCCCGAGUCUCUAGGACAUUCCUAAAAAAAUUUGAUUUUUUUCCCAUAGGAAUGCAUGGGUUAGGGUUAGGGUUAGGGUUGGAGCUAGGGUUAGGGUUAGGGUUAGGGUUGGAGUUAGGGUUAGUGUUGGAGCUAGGGUUAGGGUUGGGCUUGGAGCUAGGAUUUUUCUGAGUGCAAUGAACCAACUCCCGAGUCUCUAGGACAUUCCUAAAAAAAUUUGAUUUUUUCCCAUAGGAAUGCAUGGGUUAGGGUUAUGGUUAGGGUUAGGGUUGGAGCUAGGGUUAGGGUUAGGGUUAGGGUUGGAGUUAGGGUUAGUGUCGGAGCUAGGGUUAGGGUUGGGCUUGGAGCUAGGAUUUUUCUGAGUGCACUGAACCAACUCCCGAGUCUCUAGGACAUUCCUAAAAAAAUUUGAUUUUUUCCCAUAGGAAUGCAUGGGUUAGGGUUAUGGUUAGGGUUAGGUUUGGAGCUAGGGUUAGGGUUAGGGUUAGGGUUGGAGUUAGGGUUAGUGUUGGAGCUAGGGUUAGGGUUGGGCUUGGAGCUAGGAUUUUUCUGAGUGCACUGAACCAACUCCCGAGUCUCUAGGACAUUCCUAAAGAAAUUUGAUUUUUUCCCAUAGGAAUGCAUGGGUUAGGGUUAGGGUUAGGGUUGGAGCUAGGGUUAGGGUUAGGGUUAGGGUUGGAGUUAGGGUUAGUGUUGGAGCUAGGGUUAGGGUUGGGCUUGGAGCUAGGAUUUUUCUGAGUGCACUGAACCAACUCCCGAGUCUCUAGGACAUUCCUAAAAAAAUUUGAUUUUUUCCCAUAGGAAUGCAUGGGUUAGGGUUAGGGUUAGGGUUAGGGUUGGAGCUAGGGUUAGGGUUAGGGUUGGAGUUAGGGUUAGUGUUGGAGCUAGGGUUAGGGUUGGGCUUGGAGCUAGGAUUUUUCUGAGUGCACUGAACCAACUCCCGAGUCUCUAGGAUGUUCCUAAAAAAAUUUGAUUUUUUCCCAUAGGAAUGCAUGGGUUAGGGUUAGGGUUAGGGUUGGAGCUAGGGUUAGGGUUAGGGUUAGGGUUGGAGUUAGGAUUAGUGUUGGAGCUAGGGUUAGGGUUGGGCUUGGAGCUAGGAUUUUUCUGAGUGCACUGAACCAACUCCCGAGUCUCUAGGACAUUCCUAAAGAAAUUUGAUUUUUUCCCAUAGGAAUGCAUGGGUUAGGGUUAGGGUUAGGGUUGGAGCUAGGGUUAGGGUUAGGGUUAGGGUUGGAGUUAGGGUUAGUGUUGGAGCUAGGGUUAGGGUUGGGCUUGGAGCUAGGAUUUUUCUGAGUGCAAUGAACCAACUCCCGAGUCUCUAGGACAUUCCUAAAAAAAUUUGAUUUUUUACCAUAGGAAUGCAUGGGUUAGGGUUAUGGUUAGGGUUAGGGUUGGAGCUAGGGUUAGGGUUAGGGUUAGGGUUGGAGUUAGGGUUAGUGUUGGAGCUAGGGUUAGGGUUGGGCUUGGAGCUAGGAUUUUUCUGAGUGCACUGAACCAACUCCCGAGUCUCUAGGACGUUCCUAAAAAAAUUUGAUUUUUUCCCAUAGGAAUGCAUGGGUUAGGGUUAGGGUUAGGGUUGGAGCUAGGGUUAGGGUUAGGGUUAGGGUUGGAGUUAGGGUUAGUGUUGGAGCUAGGGUUAGGGUUGGGCUUGGAGCUAGGAUUUUUCUGAGUGCACUGAACCAACUCCCGAGUCUCUAGGACAUUCCUAAAAAAAUUUGAUUUUUUUCCCAUAGGAAUGCAUGGGUUAGGGUUAGGGUUAGGGUUGGAGCUAGGGUUAGGGUUAGGGUUAGGGUUGGAGUUAGGGUUAGUGUUGGAGCUAGCGUUAGGGUUGGGCUUGGAGCUAGGAUUUUUCUGAGUGCAAUGAACCAACUCCCGAGUCUCUAGGACAUUCCUAAAAAAAUUUGAUUUUUUCCCAUAGGAAUGCAUGGGUUAGGGUUAUGGUUAGGGUUAGGGUUGGAGCUAGGGUUAGGGUUAGGGUUAGGGUUUGAGUUAGGGUUAGUGUCGGAGCUAGGGUUAGGGUUGGGCUUGGAGCUAGGAUUUUUCUGAGUGCACUGAACCAACUCCCGAGUCUCUAGGACAUUCCUAAAAAAAUUUGAUUUUUUCCCAUAGGAAUGCAUGGGUUAGGGUUAUGGUUAGGGUUAGGGUUGGAGCUAGGGUUAGGGUUAGGGUUAGGGUUGGAGUUAGGGUUAGUGUUGGAGCUAGGGUUAGGGUUGGGCUUGGAGCUAGGAUUUUUCUGAGUGCACUGAACCAACUCCCGAGUCUCUAGGACGUUCCUAAAAAAAUUGAUUUUUUCCCAUAGGAAUGCAUGGGUUAGGGUUAGGGUUAGGGUUGGACCUAGGGUUAGGGUUGGAGUUAGGGUUAGUGUUGGAGCUAGGGUUAGGGUUGGGCUUGGAGCUAGGAUUUUUCUGAGUGCACUGAACCAACUCCCGAGUCUCUAGGACAUUCCUAAAAAAACUUGAUUUUUUCCCAUAGGAAUGCAUGGGUUAGGGUUAGGGUUAGGGUUGGAGCUAGGGUUAGGGUUAGGGUUAGGGUUGGAGUUAGGGUUAGUGUUGGAGCUAGGGUUAGGGUUGGGCUUGGAGCUAGGAUUUUUCUGAGUGCACUGAACCAACUCCCGAGUCUCUAGGACAUUCCUAAAAAAAAUUGAUUUUUUCCCAUAGGAAUGCAUGGGUUAGGGUUAUGGUUAGGGUUAGGGUUGGAGCUAGGGUUAGGGUUAGGGUUAGGGUUGGAGUUAGGGUUAGUGUUGGAGCUAGGGUUAGGGUUGGGCUUGGAGCUAGGAUUUUUCUGAGUGCACUGAACCAACUCCCGAGUCUCUAGGACGUUCCUAAAAAAAUUUGAUUUUUUCCCAUAGGAAUGCAUGGGUUAGGGUUAGGGUUAGGGUUGGAGCUAGGGUUAGGGUUAGGGUUAGGGUUGGAGUUAGGGUUAGUGUUGGAGCUAGGGUUAGGGUUGGGCUUGGAGCUAGGAUUUUUCUGAGUGCACUGAACCAACUCCCGAGUCUCUAGGACAUUCCUAAAAAAAUUUGAUUUUUUCCAAUAGGAAUGCAUGGGUUAGGGUUAGGGUUAGGGUUGGAGCUAGGGUUAGGGUUAGGGUUAGGGUUGGAGUUAGGGUUAGGGUUGGAGCUAGGGUUAGGGUUGGGCUUGGAGCUAGGAUUUUUCUGAGUGCACUGAACCAACUCCCGAGUCUCUAGGACAUUCCUAAAAAAAUUUGAUUUUUUCCCAUAGGAAUGCAUGGGUUAGGGUUAGGGUUAGGGUUGGAGCUAGGGUUAGGGUUAGGGUUAGGGUUGGAGUUAGGGUUAGUGUUGGAGCUAGGGUUAGGGUUGGGCUUGGAGCUAGGAUUUUUCUGAGUGCACUGAACCAACUCCCGAGUCUCUAGGACAUUCCUAAAAAAAUUGAAUUUUUUCCCAUAGGAAUGCAUGGGUUAGGGUUAUGGUUAGGGUUAGGGUUGGAGCUAGGGUUAGGGUUAGGGUUAGGGUUGGAGUUAGGGUUAGUGUUGGAGCUAGGGUUAGGGUUGGGCUUGGAGCUAGGAUUUUUCUGAGUGCACUGAACCAACUCCCGAGUCUCUAGGACAUUCCUAAAAAAAUUUGAUUUUUUCCCAUAGGAAUGCAUGGGUUAGGGUUAUGGUUAGUGUUAGGGUUGGAGCUAGGGUUAGGGUUAGGGUUAGGGUUGGAGUUAGGGUUAGUGUUGGAGCUAGGGUUAGGGUUGGGCUUGGAGCUAGGACUUUUCUGAGUGCACUGAACCAACUCCCGAGUCUCUAGGACAUUCCUAAAAAAAUUUGAUUUUUUCCCAUAGGAAUGCAUGGGUUAGGGUUAGGGUUAGGGUUGGAGCUAGGGUUAGGGUUAGGGUUAGGGUUGGAGUUAGGGUUAGUGUUGGAGCUAGGGUUAGGGUUGGGCUUGGAGCUAGGAUUUUUCUGAGUGCACUGAACCAACUCCCGAGUCUCUAGGACAUUCCUAAAAAAAUUUGAUUUUUUCCCAUAGGAAUGCAUGGGUUAGGGUUAUGGUUAGGGUUAGGGUUGGAGCUAGGGUUAGGGUUAGGGUUGGAGUUAGGGUUAGUGUUGGAGCUAGGGUUAGGGUUGGGCUUGGAGCUAGGAUUUUUCUGAGUGCACUGAACCAACUCCCGAGUCUCUAGGAUGUUCCUAAAAAAAUUUGAUUUUUUCCCAUAGGAAUGCAUGGGUUAGGGUUAGGGUUAGGGUUGGAGCUAGGGUUAGGGUUAGGGUUAGGGUUGGAGUUAGGAUUAGUGUUGGAGCUAGGGUUAGGGUUGGGCUUGGAGCUAGGAUUUUUCUGAGUGCACUGAACCAACUCCCGAGUCUCUAGGACAUUCCUAAAGAAAUUUGAUUUUUUCCCAUAGGAAUGCAUGGGUUAGGGUUAGGGUUAGGGUUGGAGCUAGGGUUAGGGUUAGGGUUAGGGUUGGAGUUCGGGUUAGUGUUGGAGCUAGGGUUAGGGUUGGGCUUGGAGCUAGGAUUUUUCUGAGUGCACUGAACCAACUCCCGAGUCUCUAGGACAUUCCUAAAAAAAUUUGAUUUUUUCCCAUAGGAAUGCAUGGGUUAGGGUUAUGGUUAGGGUUAGGGUUGGAGCUAGGGUUAGGGUUAGGGUUGGAGUUAGGGUUAGUGUUGGAGCUAGGGUUAGGGUUGGGCUUGGAGCUAGGAUUUUUCUGAGUGCACUGAACCAACUCCCGAGUCUCUAGGAUGUUCCUAAAAAAAUUUGAUUUUUUCCCAUAGGAAUGCAUGGGUUAGGGUUAGGGUUAGGGUUGGAGCUAGGGUUAGGGUUAGGGUUAGGGUUGGAGUUAGGAUUAGUGUUGGAGCUAGGGUUAGGGUUGGGCUUGGAGCUAGGAUUUUUCUGAGUGCACUGAACCAACUCCCGAGUCUCUAGGACAUUCCUAAAGAAAUUUGAUUUUUUCCCAUAGGAAUGCAUGGGUUAGGGUUAGGGUUAGGGUUGGAGCUAGGGUUAGGGUUAGGGUUAGGGUUGGAGUUAGGGUUAGUGUUGGAGCUAGGGUUAGGGUUGGGCUUGGAGCUAGGAUUUUUCUGAGUGCACUGAACCAACUCCCGAGUCUCUAGGACAUUCCUAAAAAAAUUUGAUUUUUUCCCAUAGGAAUGCAUGGGUUAGGGUUAUGGUUAGGGUUAGGGUUGGAGCUAGGGUUAGGGUUAGGGUUAGGGUUGGAGUUAGGGUUAGUGUUGGAGCUAGGGUUAGGGUUGGGCUUGGAGCUAGGAUUUUUCUGAGUGCACUGAACCAACUCCCGAGUCUCUAGGACGUUCCUAAAAAAAUUUGAUUUUUUCCCAUAGGAAUGCAUGGGUUAGGGUUAGGGUUAGGGUUGGAGCUAGGGUUAGGGUUAGGGUUAGGGUUGGAGUUAGGGUUAGUGUUGGAGCUAGGGUUAGGGUUGGGCUUGGAGCUAGGAUUUUUCUGAGUGCACUGAACCAACUCCCGAGUCUCUAGGACAUUCCUAAAAAAAUUUGAUUUUUUUCCCAUAGGAAUGCAUGGGUUAGGGUUAGGGUUAGGGUUGGAGCUAGGGUUAGGGUUAGGGUUAGGGUUGGAGUUAGGGUUAGUGUUGGAGCUAGCGUUAGGGUUGGGCUUGGAGCUAGGAUUUUUCUGAGUGCAAUGAACCAACUCCCGAGUCUCUAGGACAUUCCUAAAAAAAUUUGAUUUUUUCCCAUAGGAAUGCAUGGGUUAGGGUUAUGGUUAGGGUUAGGGUUGGAGCUAGGGUUAGGGUUAGGGUUAGGGUUUGAGUUAGGGUUAGUGUCGGAGCUAGGGUUAGGGUUGGGCUUGGAGCUAGGAUUUUUCUGAGUGCACUGAACCAACUCCCGAGUCUCUAGGACGUUCCUAAAAAAAUUGAUUUUUUCCCAUAGGAAUGCAUGGGUUAGGGUUAGGGUUAGGGUUGGACCUAGGGUUAGGGUUGGAGUUAGGGUUAGUGUUGGAGCUAGGGUUAGGGUUGGGCUUGGAGCUAGGAUUUUUCUGAGUGCACUGAACCAACUCCCGAGUCUCUAGGACAUUCCUAAAAAAAUUUGAUUUUUUCCCAUAGGAAUGCAUGGGUUAGGGUUAGGGUUAGGGUUGGAGCUAGGGUUAGGGUUAGGGUUAGGGUUGGAGUUAGGGUUAGUGUUGGAGCUAGGGUUAGGGUUGGGCUUGGAGCUAGGAUUUUUCUGAGUGCACUGAACCAACUCCCGAGUCUCUAGGACAUUCCUAAAAAAAUUGAUUUUUUCCCAUAGGAAUGCAUGGGUUAGGGUUAUGGUUAGGGUUAGGGUUGGAGCUAGGGUUAGGGUUAGGGUUAGGGUUGGAGUUAGGGUUAGUGUUGGAGCUAGGGUUAGGGUUGGGCUUGGAGCUAGGAUUUUUCUGAGUGCACUGAACCAACUCCCGAGUCUCUAGGACGUUCCUAAAAAAAUUUGAUUUUUUCCAAUAGGAAUGCAUGGGUUAGGGUUAGGGUUAGGGUUGGAGCUAGGGUUAGGGUUAGGGUUAGGGUUGGAGUUAGGGUUAGGGUUGGAGCUAGGUUUAGGGUUGGGCUUGGAGCUAGGAUUUUUCUGAGUGCACUGAACCAACUCCCGAGUCUCUAGGACAUUCCUAAAAAAAUUUGAUUUUUUCCCAUAGGAAUGCAUGGGUUAGGGUUAGGGUUAGGGUUGGAGCUAGGGUUAGGGUUAGGGUUAGGGUUGGAGUUAGGGUUAGUGUUGGAGCUAGGGUUAGGGUUGGGCUUGGAGCUAGGAUUUUUCUGAGUGCACUGAACCAACUCCCGAGUCUCUAGGACAUUCCUAAAAAAAUUUGAUUUUUUCCCAUAGGAAUGCAUGGGUUAGGGUUAUGGUUAGGGUUAGGGUUGGAGCUAGGGUUAGGGUUAGGGUUAGGGUUGGAGUUAGGGUUAGUGUUGGAGCUAGGGUUAGGGUUGGGCUUGGAGCUAGGAUUUUUCUGAGUGCACUGAACCAACUCCCGAGUCUCUAGGACAUUCCUAAAAAAAUUUGAUUUUUUCCCAUAGGAAUGCAUGGGUUAGGGUUAUGGUUAGGGUUAGGGUUGGAGCUAGGGUUAGGGUUAGGGUUAGGGUUGGAGUUAGGGUUAGUGUUGGAGCUAGGGUUAGGGUUGGGCUUGGAGCUAGGAUUUUUCUGAGUGCACUGAACCAACUCCCGAGUCUCUAGGACAUUCCUAAAAAAAUUUGAUUUUUUCCCAUAGGAAUGCAUGGGUUAGGGUUAUGGUUAGGGUUAGGGUUGGAGCUAGGGUUAGGGUUAGGGUUGGAGUUAGGGUUAGUGUUGGAGCUAGGGUUAGGGUUGGGCUUGGAGCUAGGAUUUUUCUGAGUGCACUGAACCAACUCCCGAGUCUCUAGGAUGUUCCUAAAAAAAUUUGAUUUUUUCCCAUAGGAAUGCAUGGGUUAGGGUUAGGGUUAGGGUUGGAGCUAGGGUUAGGGUUAGGGUUAGGGUUGGAGUUAGGAUUAGUGUUGGAGCUAGGGUUAGGGUUGGGCUUGGAGCUAGGGUUUUUCUGAGUGCACUGAACCAACUCCCGAGUCUCUAGGACAUUCCUAAAGAAAUUUGAUUUUUUCCCAUAGGAAUGCAUGGGUUAGGGUUAGGGUUAGGGUUGGAGCUAGGGUUAGGGUUAGGGUUAGGGUUGGAGUUAGGGUUAGUGUUGGAGCUAGGGUUAGGGUUGGGCUUGGAGCUAGGAUUUUUCUGAGUGCACUGAACCAACUCCCGAGUCUCUAGGACAUUCCUAAAAAAAUUUGAUUUUUUCCCAUAGGAAUGCAUGGGUUAGGGUUAGGGUUAGGGUUAGGGUUGGAGCUAGGGUUAGGGUUAGGGUUGGAGUUAGGGUUAGUGUUGGAGCUAGGGUUAGGGUUGGGCUUGGAGCUAGGAUUUUUCUGAGUGCACUGAACCAACUCCCGAGUCUCUAGGAUGUUCCUAAAAAAAUUUGAUUUUUUCCCAUAGGAAUGCAUGGGUUAGGGUUAGGGUUAGGGUUGGAGCUAGGGUUAGGGUUAGGGUUAGGGUUGGAGUUAGGAUUAGUGUUGGAGCUAGGGUUAGGGUUGGGCUUGGAGCUAGGAUUUUUCUGAGUGCACUGAACCAACUCCCGAGUCUCUAGGACAUUCCUAAAGAAAUUUGAUUUUUUCCCAUAGGAAUGCAUGGGUUAGGGUUAGGGUUAGGGUUGGAGCUAGGGUUAGGGUUAGGGUUAGGGUUGGAGUUAGGGUUAGUGUUGGAGCUAGGGUUAGGGUUGGGCUUGGAGCUAGGAUUUUUCUGAGUGCAAUGAACCAACUCCCGAGUCUCUAGGACAUUCCUAAAAAAAUUUGAUUUUUUCCCAUAGGAAUGCAUGGGUUAGGGUUAUGGUUAGGGUUAGGGUUGGAGCUAGGGUUAGGGUUAGGGUUAGGGUUGGAGUUAGGGUUAGUGUUGGAGCUAGGGUUAGGGUUGGGCUUGGAGCUAGGAUUUUUCUGAGUGCACUGAACCAACUCCCGAGUCUCUAGGACGUUCCUAAAAAAAUUUGAUUUUUUCCCAUAGGAAUGCAUGGGUUAGGGUUAGGGUUAGGGUUGGAGCUAGGGUUAGGGUUAGGGUUAGGGUUGGAGUUAGGGUUAGUGUUGGAGCUAGGGUUAGGGUUGGGCUUGGAGCUAGGAUUUUUCUGAGUGCACUGAACCAACUCCCGAGUCUCUAGGACAUUCCUAAAAAAAUUUGAUUUUUUUCCCAUAGGAAUGCAUGGGUUAGGGUUAGGGUUAGGGUUGGAGCUAGGGUUAGGGUUAGGGUUAGGGUUGGAGUUAGGGUUAGUGUUGGAGCUAGCGUUAGGGUUGGGCUUGGAGCUAGGAUUUUUCUGAGUGCAAUGAACCAACUCCCGAGUCUCUAGGACAUUCCUAAAAAAAUUUGAUUUUUUCCCAUAGGAAUGCAUGGGUUAGGGUUAUGGUUAGGGUUAGGGUUGGAGCUAGGGUUAGGGUUAGGGUUAGGGUUGGAGUUAGGGUUAGGGUUGGAGCUAGGUUUAGGGUUGGGCUUGGAGCUAGGAUUUUUCUGAGUGCACUGAA
RNAcentral lists this long non-coding RNA (24243 nucleotides) under Xyrichtys novacula (pearly razorfish). Lineage: Eukaryota; Metazoa; Chordata; Actinopteri; Labriformes; Labridae. The record is from RNAcentral.